Small nucleolar RNA from Cercocebus atys (sooty mangabey), 104 nucleotides. The record is from Ensembl. Lineage: Eukaryota; Metazoa; Chordata; Mammalia; Primates; Cercopithecidae.
AUCCUUUUGUAGUUCAUAAGCGUGAUGAUUGGGUGUUCACACUUACGUGAGACAUGUGCCUCCCUCAAACCUUGUUAUGACAUUUGCACAUUAUCUCUCUGAUG